RNAcentral lists this antisense RNA (187 nucleotides) under Roseofilum reptotaenium AO1-A. RNAcentral's name for it is "Antisense RNA which regulates isiA expression". It matches the Rfam family "Antisense RNA which regulates isiA expression". The record is from Rfam by way of RNAcentral. Lineage: Bacteria; Bacillati; Cyanobacteriota; Cyanophyceae; Desertifilales; Desertifilaceae.
GAUAGCCGAAGAUCACAGCCGGGUUGAGGGUCGGGUUACUAAUGAUACGAACUGCACCACCACCAGGGGCCCAGCUAUCAUAAACACCACCGAAGAACAUAGCUUUGAAGACCAACAAUAAAGCUCCUAUUCCUAAGAGGAUUAAGUGGUAGCCAAUGAUAUUGGUCAUUUGAUUCUUAUCUCUCCA